This 497-nucleotide ribosomal RNA is filed under the name uncultured bacterium. RNAcentral describes it as "partial 16S ribosomal RNA". It matches the Rfam family "Bacterial small subunit ribosomal RNA", at positions 28 to 507 of the family's 1533-position model. The record is from RNAcentral.
GAUGAACGCUGGCGGCGUGCCUAAUACAUGCAAGUCGAGCGAACAGAUGAGGAGCUUGCUCCUCUGACGUUAGCGGCGGACGGGUGAGUAACACGUGGAUAACCUACCUAUAAGACUGGGAUAACUUCGGGAAACCGGAGCUAAUACCGGAUAAUAUAUUGAACCGCAUUGUUCAAUAGUGAAAGACGGUUUUGCUGUCACUUAUAGAUGGAUCCGCGCCGCAUUAGCUAGUUGGUAAGGUAACGGCUUACCAAGGCAACAAUGCGUAGCCGACCUGAGAGGGUGAUCGGCCACACUGGAACUGAGACACGGUCCAGACUCCUACGGGAGGAAGCAGUAGGGAAUCUUCCGCAAUGGGCGAAAGCCUGACGGAGCAACGCCGCGUGAGUGAUGAAGGUCUUCGGAUCGUAAAACUCUGUUAUUAGGGAAGAACAAAUGUGUAAGUACCUAUGCACGUCUUGACGGUACCUAAUCAGAAAGCCACGGCUAACUACGUG